Molecule: ribosomal RNA, 523 nt
Filed under: Bradyrhizobium sp. ERR 399
Lineage: Bacteria; Pseudomonadati; Pseudomonadota; Alphaproteobacteria; Hyphomicrobiales; Nitrobacteraceae
Also listed under: 1 other name
Description: bacterial SSU rRNA
Rfam family: Bacterial small subunit ribosomal RNA
Source: RNAcentral
GGUGAGUAACGCGUGGGAACGUACCUUUUGGUUCGGAACAACACAGGGAAACUUGUGCUAAUACCGGAUAAGCCCUUACGGGGAAAGAUUUAUCGCCGAAAGAUCGGCCCGCGUCUGAUUAGCUAGUUGGUGAGGUAAUGGCUCACCAAGGCGACGAUCAGUAGCUGGUCUGAGAGGAUGAUCAGCCACAUUGGGACUGAGACACGGCCCAAACUCCUACGGGAGGCAGCAGUGGGGAAUAUUGGACAAUGGGCGCAAGCCUGAUCCAGCCAUGCCGCGUGAGUGAUGAAGGCCCUAGGGUUGUAAAGCUCUUUUGUGCGGGAAGAUAAUGACGGUACCGCAAGAAUAAGCCCCGGCUAACUUCGUGCCAGCAGCCGCGGUAAUACGAAGGGGGCUAGCGUUGCUCGGAAUCACUGGGCGUAAAGGGUGCGUAGGCGGGUCUUUAAGUCAGGGGUGAAAUCCUGGAGCUCAACUCCAGAACUGCCUUUGAUACUGAAGAUCUUGAGUCCGGGAGAGGUGAGUG